RNAcentral lists this ribosomal RNA (324 nucleotides) under Sceloporus parvus. RNAcentral describes it as "partial 12S ribosomal RNA". It matches the Rfam family "Bacterial small subunit ribosomal RNA", at positions 866 to 1355 of the family's 1533-position model. Lineage: Eukaryota; Metazoa; Chordata; Lepidosauria; Squamata; Phrynosomatidae. The record is from RNAcentral.
UGUCCGCCAGAAAAUYACGAGCGAAAAGCUUAAAACUCAAAGGACUUGGCGGUGCUCCAUACCGACUUAGAGGAGCCUGUCCUAUAAUCGAUAACCCACGAUAAACCAGACCAAUCUUUGCCCAAUUCAGCCUAUAUACCGCCGUCGUCAACCUACCCCAUGAGGGNAAAAUAGUAAGUAUAACAGUUUUUUAACUAAAACGUCAGGUCAAGGUGUAGCUAAUAGAUUGGAAGAGAUGGGCUACAUUAUUUAAUAUAAAUAAUACGGCACGUCAUUAUGAAACUAAUGCCCGAAGGAGGAUUUAAUAGUAAAAUAAGUUAGAAA